CAGCCGCCGCGGUAAUACGGAGGGCGCGAGCGUUGUCCGGAUUCACUGGGCGUAAAGCGUGCGCAGGCGGCUUUGCAAGACAGAUGUGAAAUCCCCGGGCUCAACCUGGGAACUGCAUUUGUGACUGCAAGGCUAGAGUACGGUAGAGGGGGAUGGAAUUCCGCGUGUAGCAGUGAAAUGCGUAGAUAUGCGGAGGAACACCAAUGGCGAAGGCAAUCCCCUGGACCUGUACUGACGCUCAUGCACGAAAGCGUGGGGAGCAAACAGGAUUAGAUACCCUGGUAGUCCACGCCCUAAACGAUGUCAACUGGUUGUUGGACGGCUUGCUGUUCAGUAACGAAGCUAACGCGUGAAGUUGACCGCCUGGGGAGUACGGCCGCAAGGUUGAAACUUAAAGGAAUUGGCGGG
Molecule: ribosomal RNA, 408 nt
Filed under: uncultured microorganism
Description: bacterial SSU rRNA
Rfam family: Bacterial small subunit ribosomal RNA
Source: RNAcentral